AUGGCUUCCACCAUCAGGGUCGUGCAGGUAGCGAAACCACAUGCUCGAUUAGUAAAGUUCCCAACAGAAGAGACAGCCCUAACCUCAGUGUCUCCGAAGCUCUGGGAUCUGCUGCUCCCCUCCCACUCCUCUGUCACUUCACAGCAUCCCAAAGGAAAUAUGUCCCCAGAUUUACUGAUGCAUCAGGGGCCACCAGCCACUGCAGAAAUAAUACAAUCAUUACAUAGAAGGAAACCUAUGUCUCAAGAGGAAAUGGAAUUUAUUCAGUGAGGGGGUCCAGAG
Molecule: long non-coding RNA, 282 nt
Filed under: Mus musculus (house mouse)
Lineage: Eukaryota; Metazoa; Chordata; Mammalia; Rodentia; Muridae
Description: long non-coding RNA chr2:80499229-80499511
Source: RNAcentral